RNAcentral lists this long non-coding RNA (2090 nucleotides) under Phasianus colchicus (ring-necked pheasant). RNAcentral describes it as "lncRNA (ENSPCLG00000016066.1)". Lineage: Eukaryota; Metazoa; Chordata; Aves; Galliformes; Phasianidae. The record is from RNAcentral.
GGAACGAGAUGUACAGUGAAAGUGUGCUGACAUCACAGCCAUUAUUGAAUGAUAAAGUAAAUAGCUGGUUGUACUAAUGUGCAGACUUGACAGCACUGAGAAACAUGAACUUCCAUAUGGAAAAUAUGGAAACGGAAGUCGACAGAUUCACAUAACGAUCUGAGUCAGUGUUGUUUCUGCUUGAGCAAACAAUUUUGAUUUAAAGGGAGAAGAUGACUGAGCAAAUCAUGAAGAGGUCUGGUGCCUCAGGUCUCUGUGGCUGCAGACAUUUCCUACCAAUGAUGCUGAGCAGAAACAAACUGUUGCCUUUAACGGCAUUGGGAAGUAUCUGGGACGUGCUCCCAGUCGAAUUGGGAAGUGACCCAGGAGCACAAGGAAUUACGUGGCAUAAAGGAGGAUUUGCUGUGUCAGUGGUGAAAUCCUUUGACUCUUACACGAAGGCCGAGAUUCAGUUCAGCUGAACCGAAUGGAACGUGUGCAGAAAAACCAACUACACAGAAGUGGAAACCUGUCAGUUUGACAAAUACUGCAGCAGAGCUUGUGUCACCCAGAGUCAGUACUUCCCUGUGGUGAAGUGCAUGUUUGACUGGCAAGGCCUCAAGAUAAUUUUCUCUUGGCUGAGGCUCUGUGCAGGCACUGAUGUGAGCUGUCACAGCCUCCUCUCAGGGCUCUUCUGAGAACUGGACAUGUUCUUGCUUGAUAUACAUUGUCAAAUUUCAUCCAUAUCUCUGUGUUUGAAAUUUUUGCUCAUCUAAAAUAUGUGAGGUGUUAAGAAACACCAAUGAUAUAUGAUCUAAUUUUUUGGACACGAUGCACAGGGUGUUUUAUCAAGAGAAAAUAAUGCAUGACACUGGAAAUACUUAGGCUGGAAUACUGAAAAGCAUGGUGACACUUGAUGGGUAGAAGUACCAUGUUGUAGGGGUGUCUGCCAGCUGUUCUCAAGAUAACUUGUCAUCAGGGAGAGAAACAAGUGCGUGAACAGGGCAGAACUGCCAGCCUGUUUAUUUGUAAGGAUAUAAUUGUCAGAAAAGUAGUCCAUAUUUGUUAUGUGCAGACAUGAAAAAUGAAGCUGAAGAACCAGGCAUGUGUGUCCUGAAGCCACAGAAGGUAACAAGCACUCUGCUGCAACGAGUGGAUGUGUAAAGGGGUGAAAAGCUGAACCUGUAUUUCUGUAGUGCUGGAAGGAGGGGCUCUGCCUUCUUGCAUAGUAAGAUAUUUGAGCAUUCAACAUUUGGCAUUCUCUCUCUGCCCCAAAUUCCUCCAUCAUCUACUUCCUUGGCUUAGUGGUCUGAGCUCCCAGACACAAACAGGCUGAUAAAUGUGCCUGGGGUAGGAAGAAGGGGUCAUCAGGAACCAGGGCUCACAUGCAAACAAAAAAGAUAACCAGUGUGGAUGCAGGGCUUUGCUGUGACAGUCAUCGUGCAGGGCCUAGUGCAUGGCUUCAGGCCUGCAGGGGAUGUGGGGGGCUCUCGCUGCAAGCAGGUGCCUGAGCUGGAUGAAAUUCCCCUAACGUGUGCUAAGCCUGUACCAAACAUGGCCAGACAGGAUAAGUAGAAAAGAGUCACCAGUUUAAAAGCUAUCCGGGAAGGUGUCCAAUGAGGUUAUCAUACACUUGAUAUGGCGCAGGGGAGUUACAGCUUUAAGGCACACCUUCUUGCUAUUUGAACUUGUUUUCUGUUGGUACUGGCUGCAUCUGGCUGGCAUGUUCACUAUUUAUGUGCAAGUUAUUAGCUUUCUGCCUUUUUCACCAUUUCCUUUUGUGCAGAACUACAAGGUCUUCAAAAAGUGAUGGCAUACUUUGUGUUUGAGUUGGAGAAGAAAGAAGAUAGAGAUCAUGUAUGGCUGGGGGUUUUCUGUUUGUGAUGACUCCAUCAUAAAUAAUUCAUUGUGCAGGCACCAGUGAAAUGGAAAAAGAUUCAUAACUUCUUUGAGCCUGUAAAUAUUCAAACGUUAUACUCCAAAAUUAAUUAGAAGCAGUUAAUAUCAAACAUAUCCUGUAGUACACGUUGCUUAAUCAAGACAGGUAGAGCUGCCAGUGUUUCCAGCCUUGCAUUUCAUCUAAGAAAUAAAAGGAUUUUCUAAAUGUUACA